UACGGAGGGUGCAAGCGUUAUCCGGAUUCACUGGGUUUAAAGGGUGCGUAGGUGGGUUGGUAAGUCAGUGGUGAAAUCUCCGUGCUUAACAUGGAAACUGCCAUUGAUACUACUGGUCUUGAAUUUUCCGGAGGUAAGCGGAAUAUGUCAUGUAGCGGUGAAAUGCUUAGAUAUGUAUUAGAACACCGAUUGCGAAGGCAGUUCACUAGGCGUGUAUUGACACUGAGGCUCGAAAGCGUGGGGAUCAAACAGG
Molecule: ribosomal RNA, 253 nt
Filed under: uncultured bacterium
Lineage: Bacteria
Description: partial 16S ribosomal RNA
Rfam family: Bacterial small subunit ribosomal RNA
Source: RNAcentral